GUAGUCGCUUCAGCAGCACAUAUACUAAAAUUGGAAUGAUACAGAGAUUAGCAUGGCCCCUGAGCAAGGAUGACACACAAAUUCAAGAAGCAUUUCAUAUUUUU
Bubalus bubalis (water buffalo) is the source of this 104-nucleotide small nuclear RNA. The record is from RefSeq and is a predicted model, not a curated record. Lineage: Eukaryota; Metazoa; Chordata; Mammalia; Artiodactyla; Bovidae.